Molecule: small RNA, 653 nt
Filed under: Pongo abelii (Sumatran orangutan)
Lineage: Eukaryota; Metazoa; Chordata; Mammalia; Primates; Hominidae
Description: retained intron
Source: RNAcentral
CCAGAUCCAGUUUUCUCAGUUUGACUUUAGAAGGUUUCGGCCAUCCCUGAUUUGAAGGAAAAGGGAAACUUAGGAUAAAGCUAUAACCUGGGGAACUGUGUUCUCUUUUUUACAGAAAGACUUUUUAUCCAUCGAGCUGUUUCACGGCAGAGUGAAGGUUAUGACUGACCUGGGUUCAGGACCCCUUACCCUUUUGACAGACAGACGUUAUAACAAUGGAACCUGGUACAAAAUUGCCUUCCAGCGAAACCGGAAGCAAGGAGUCCUAGCAGUUAUCGAUGCCUAUAACACCAGUAAUAAAGAAACCAAGCAGGGUGAGACUCCGGGAGCAUCUUCUGACCUCAACCGCCUAGACAAGGACCCGAUUUAUGUGGGUGGAUUACCAAGGUCAAGAGUUGUAAGAACAUCUAAAUCCUGUUACUGUGCAAUAUUUGGAGACCCUACUUGCUGUCAUACUUCAUCUCCCUCUCUAGACAUUUUAGAGAAGUAGAUCUCUUUUAAAGCAAAAAGAAAAAAAAAAAAAGAAAUCAUGCUCUCUGCAGAGUUUUCUGGAUUCUCCUUUGUGUGGUUAGACUGAAUGAUGUAUGUGCAAGCUGAAAGACUAGCAUCAAGAAGUGGAAUGAAAUGGCACAGGACACACAAUGGAAUCCUUG